GACGAACCGAGCGAACGUUAUUCGGAAUCACUGGGCUUAAAGGGCGCGUAGGCGGGCCGUCAAGUCAGGGGUGAAAGCCCCCCGCUCAACUGGGGAAGUGCCUCUGAUACUGGCGGCCUCGAGGGAGGUAGGGGCGUGCGGAACUUCCGGUGUAGCGGUGAAAUGCGCAGAUAUCAGGAGGAACACCAAUUGCGAAGGCAGCUCGCUGGGACGUUACUGACGCUGAGACGCGAAAGCGUGGGGAGCAAACAGG
This 253-nucleotide ribosomal RNA is filed under the name uncultured bacterium. Its description in RNAcentral is "partial 16S ribosomal RNA". It matches the Rfam family "Bacterial small subunit ribosomal RNA", at positions 524 to 776 of the family's 1533-position model. The record is from RNAcentral.